UUUUUAUAUUGAAACUACUAAGUAAAUGCACUUUUUACAAUUAAAUCAAGAGACUUUAAUUGCAUUUAUGUAAAAGUUCAAAGUUUUGGGAUUACAUUACCAUGUUGUGUUGUAUUUAAAUGGUAAAGUUAUUUAAAACGCACUGAUUGUCCCAAAGUGCUUGCCGUACUUUCUCAGCACAUGCGCUGUAAGACCGGGGACAUGUGUCAUUUGAAUCCUGUGACUGUGAGAUGACAGAACCGCAUUUUUUCCCUUUCCUGUGCCAUCCUGCGAUGUUAUGGUUUUGAAUGUGGAGAUGCAAACAGUGGACUGAGACUCAAUCUACAAGGUAAACGCAGAAUUCACCCGCAUCACCACCGUUCCGCUGCUGCCUACCUUCAUGUCUCAACUGGAUCGCCAUUCGUCUCAGUUGAUGAAGGUUUUC
Molecule: long non-coding RNA, 424 nt
Organism: Trematomus bernacchii (emerald rockcod)
Lineage: Eukaryota; Metazoa; Chordata; Actinopteri; Perciformes; Nototheniidae
Exons: 3
Source: RefSeq, a predicted model, not a curated record